Molecule: ribosomal RNA, 255 nt
Filed under: uncultured bacterium
Lineage: Bacteria
Description: partial 16S ribosomal RNA
Rfam family: Bacterial small subunit ribosomal RNA
Source: RNAcentral
UGGACCCGCGGUGCAUUAGCUAGUUGGUAGGGUAAUGGCCUACCAAGGCAACGAUGCAUAGCCGACCUGAGAGGGUGAUCGGCCACACUGGGACUGAGACACGGCCCAAACUCCUACGGGAGGCAGCAGUAGGGAAUCUUCGGCAAUGGACGAAAGUCUGACCGAGCAACGCCGCGUGAGUGAAGAAGGUUUUCGGAUCGUAAAACUCUGUUGUUAGAGAAGAACAAGGAUGAGAGUAAAAUGUCAUCCCUGACG